CCUACGGGGGGCAGCAGUGAGGAAUAUUGGUCAAUGGACGAGAGUCUGAACCAGCCAAGUAGCGUGAAGGAUGACUGCCCUAUGGGUUGUAAACUUCUUUUAUAUGGGAAUAAAAUGUUCCACGUGUGGGCUUUUGUAUGUACCAUAUGAAUAAGGAUCGGCUAACUCCGUGCCAGCAGCCGCGGUAAUACGGAGGAUCCGAGCGUUAUCCGGAUUUAUUGGGUUUAAAGGGAGCGUAGGUGGAUUGUUAAGUCAGUUGUGAAAGUUUGUGGCUCAAACGUAAAAUUGACGUUGAAACUGGCAGUCUUGAGUACAGUAGAGGUGGGCGGAAUUCGUGGUGUAGCGGUGAAAUGCGUAGAUAUCACGAAGAACUCCGAUUGCGAAGGCAGCUCACUGGACUGCAACUGACACUGAGGCUCGAAAGUGUGGGUAUCAAACAGGAUUAGAUACCCCAGUAGUC
RNAcentral lists this ribosomal RNA (460 nucleotides) under uncultured bacterium. Its description in RNAcentral is "partial 16S ribosomal RNA". It matches the Rfam family "Bacterial small subunit ribosomal RNA", at positions 338 to 795 of the family's 1533-position model. The record is from RNAcentral.